GAACGCACCUUGCGCCCUUUGGCUGUUCCGAAGGGCAUGCCUGUUUGAGUAUCAUGAACACCUCAACUCUCAUGGUUUUUCCAUGAUGGGCUUGGACUUUGGGGGUCUUGCUGGCCUGUGGUCAGCUCCUCUUAAAUGAAUCAGCUUGCCAGUGUUUGGUGGCAUCACAGGUGUGAUAACUAUCUACGCUUGUGGUUUUCCAUCAAGUAACCUUCAGUGAUGGAGGUUCGCUGGGGCUCAUAAAGGCCUCUCCUCGGUGAGGAUGGCUCCUUUGAACGUUUGAUCUCAAAUCAGGUAGGACUACCCGCUGAACUUAAG
RNAcentral lists this unclassified non-coding RNA (318 nucleotides) under uncultured Thelephoraceae. RNAcentral describes it as "sequence contains 5.8S rRNA gene". Lineage: Eukaryota; Fungi; Basidiomycota; Agaricomycetes; Thelephorales; Thelephoraceae. The record is from RNAcentral.